Non-coding RNA from Symphalangus syndactylus (siamang), 405 nucleotides. The record is from the annotation of a RefSeq genome assembly. NCBI's taxonomy places the organism in Eukaryota, Metazoa, Chordata, Mammalia, Primates, Hylobatidae.
AUGUCUCUUUCUAGCCUGCUGAAGGUGGUCACAGCUUCACUGUGGCUAGGACCUGGCAUUGCACAGAAGAUAACUCAAACCCAACCAGCAAUAUUCGUGCAGGAAAAGGAGGCUGUGACUCUGGACUGCACAUAUGACACCAGUGAUCAAAGUUAUGGUCUAUUCUGGUACAAGCAGCCCAGCAGUGGGGAGAUGAUUUUUCUAAUUUCUCAGGCGUCUUAUGACAAGCAAAAUGCAACAGAAGGUCGCUACUCAUUGAAUUUCCAGAAGGCAAGAAAAUCCGCCAACCUUGUCAUCUCCGCUUCACAACUGGGGGACUCAGCAAUGUAUUUCUGUGCAAUGAGAGAGAGCACAGUAAGAGAACCGUCAGAGGGAGGUGUACAAAAGCCCCGGGGACCUGCUUGA